RNAcentral lists this transfer RNA (77 nucleotides) under Arthrobacter sp. Its description in RNAcentral is "tRNA-Leu". It matches the Rfam family "tRNA". From Rfam's summary of the family: Transfer RNA (tRNA) molecules are approximately 80 nucleotides in length. Their secondary structure includes four short double-helical elements and three loops (D, anti-codon, and T loops). Lineage: Bacteria; Bacillati; Actinomycetota; Actinomycetes; Micrococcales; Micrococcaceae. The record is from RNAcentral. RNAcentral also lists the same sequence under 3 other names.
GCCCCAAUAGCCCAAUUGGCAGAGGCAGCGGACUUAAAAUCCGCUCAGUCAGGGUUCGAGUCCCUGUUGGGGCACCA